UUUCCGUAAGUGAACCUGCGGAAGGAUCAUUAUUGGAUUUUGAAACUUCAGGCUGCUGCUGGCUCUCCUCGGAGGGCAUGUGCACGCUUGUUGUCCAUUAUUUCUCCCACUGUGCACAAAUUGUAGACCUUUCAGUAGGCCUAUGUUGUUUUUCACAAUCUCUGAAUGUAAUAGAAUGGUUUUGAAUCUUGGGAAAUACAAUACAACUUUCAGCAACGGAUCUCUUGGCUCUC
This 233-nucleotide unclassified non-coding RNA is filed under the name plant metagenome. RNAcentral's name for it is "partial contains small subunit ribosomal RNA, internal transcribed spacer 1, and 5.8S ribosomal RNA". The record is from RNAcentral.